This 454-nucleotide ribosomal RNA is filed under the name uncultured bacterium. RNAcentral's name for it is "partial 16S ribosomal RNA". It matches the Rfam family "Bacterial small subunit ribosomal RNA", at positions 28 to 507 of the family's 1533-position model. The record is from RNAcentral.
GAUGAACGCUGACAGAAUGCUUAACACAUGCGAGUCAACUUGAACUUCGGUUUGGGUGGCGGACGGGUGAGUAACGCGUAAAGAACUUGCCUCACAGAUAGGGACAACAUUUGGAAACGAAUGCUAAUACCUGAUAUUAUGAUUAUAUGGCAUCGUAUAAUUAUGAAAGCUAUAUGCGCUGUGAGAGAGCUUUGCGUCCCAUUAGCUAGUUGGAGAGGUAACGGCUCACCAAGGCGAUGAUGGGUAGCCGGCCUGAGAGGGUGAUCGGCCACAAGGGGACUGAGACACGGCCCUUACUCCUACGGGAGGCAGCAGUGGGGAAUAUUUGACAAUGGACCAAGAGUCUGAUCCAGCAAUUCUGUGUGCACGAUGAAGUUUUUCGGAAUGUAAAGUGCUUUCAGUUGGGAAGAAAAAAAUGACGGUACCAACAGAAGAAGUGACGGCUAAAUACGUG